Molecule: ribosomal RNA, 334 nt
Filed under: uncultured bacterium
Lineage: Bacteria
Description: bacterial SSU rRNA
Rfam family: Bacterial small subunit ribosomal RNA
Source: RNAcentral
GAUGAACGCUGGCGGCGUGCUUAAUACAUGCAAGUCGAGCGAAGCACUUUAACGGAAUUCUCCGGAAGGAAGGUAAAGUGACUGAGCGGGCGACGGGUGAAGGUAACGCGUAGGGUAACCUGCCUUAUACAGGGGGAUAACAGUUAGAAAUGGCUGCUAAUACCGCAUAACAACAAAAACCACAUGGCUUUUGUUUGAAAGAUGGCUUUGGCUAUCACUCUGGGAUGGACCUGCGGUGCAUUAGCUAGUUGGUAAGGUAACGGCUUACCAAGGCAAUGAUGCAUAGCCGAGUUGAGAGACUGAUCGGUCACAAUGGAACUGAGACACGGUCCAU